GACGAACGCUGGCGGCGUGCUUAACACAUGCAAGUCGAGCGGUAAGGCUCCUUCGGGAGUACACGAGCGGCGAACGGGUGAGUAACACGUGAGCAAUCUGCCCUUCACAUCGGGAUAACUUCGGGAAACCGAAGCUAAUACCGGAUACGACCAUCGGUGGCAUCACCUGGUGGUGGAAAGUUCCGGCGGUGAAGGAUGAGCUCGCGGCCUAUCAGCUUGUUGGUGGGGUAAUGGCCACCAAGGCGACGACGGGUAGCCGGCCUGAGAGGGUGACCGGCCACACUGGGACUGAGACACGGCCCAGACUCCUACGGGAGGCAGCAGUGGGGAUAUUGGACAAUGGGCGAAAGCCUGAUCCAGCAACGCCGCGUGAGGGAUGACGGCCUGGUU
This 390-nucleotide ribosomal RNA is filed under the name uncultured bacterium. RNAcentral's name for it is "bacterial SSU rRNA". It matches the Rfam family "Bacterial small subunit ribosomal RNA", at positions 28 to 424 of the family's 1533-position model. The record is from RNAcentral.